GACGAACGCUGGCGGCGUGCUUAACACAUGCAAGUCGAGCGGUAAGGCCUCUUCGGAGGUACACGAGCGGCGAACGGGUGAGUAACACGUGGGUGACCUGCCCUCAGCUCUGGGAUAAGCCCGGGAAACUGGGUCUAAUACCGGAUACGACUUUUCCUCGCAUGGGGAUUUGUGGAAAGCCCUGGUCUUCAUCGGUUGGGGUGGCUGGGGAUGGGCCCGCGGCCUAUCAGCUUGUUGGUGGGGUGAUGGCCUACCAAGGCGACGACGGGUAGCCGGCCUGAGAGGGCGACCGGCCACACUGGGACUGAGACGCGGCCCAGACUCCUACGGGAGGCAGCAGUGGGGAAUAUCGCGCAAUGGGCGAAAGCCUGACGCAGCGACGCCGCGUGGGGA
RNAcentral lists this ribosomal RNA (393 nucleotides) under uncultured bacterium. Its description in RNAcentral is "bacterial SSU rRNA". It matches the Rfam family "Bacterial small subunit ribosomal RNA", at positions 28 to 407 of the family's 1533-position model. The record is from RNAcentral.